Molecule: transfer RNA, 101 nt
Filed under: Candidatus Bathyarchaeota archaeon
Lineage: Archaea; Thermoproteati; Candidatus Bathyarchaeota
Description: tRNA-Leu
Rfam family: tRNA
About the family: Transfer RNA (tRNA) molecules are approximately 80 nucleotides in length.
Source: RNAcentral
GCGGGGGUGGCAGAGCCAGGUCAAACCUGACGGCCAGAUGCGCGGGACUCAAGAUCCCGUCCCGAAGGGGUUCGUGGGUUCAAAUCCCACCCCCCGCACCA